UAAAGGUUUGGUCCUAGCCUUUCUAUUAAUUCUAAACAGAACUACACAUGCAAGUAUCCGCGCCCCAGUGAGAAUGCCCUAUAGAUCGUACCCUCAAACGAUAUAAAGGAGUAGGUAUCAAGCACACCGUUAGGUAGCUCAUAACGCCUUGCUCAGCCACACCCCCACGGGAGACAGCAGUGAUAAAAAUUAAGCAAUAAACGAAAGUUUGACUAAGUUAUGUUAAAAAGGGUUGGUAAAUUUCGUGCCAGCCACCGCGGUCAUACGAUUAACCCUAAUUAAUAGACCUACGGCGUAAAGCGUGUUUAAGGAUUUCCCCCCCCCCAAUAAAGUUAAACCCUAGCUACGCUGUAAAAAGCCCCAGCUACCGUAAAAUCCCCCACGAAAGUGACUUUAAAUAACCUGAAUACACGACAGCUAAGACCCAAACUGGGAUUAGAUACCCCACUAUGCUUAGCCCUAAACUUGAAGAAUCAACAUAACAAGAUCCUUCGCCAGAGUACUACUAGCUAAAGCUUAAAACUCAAAGGACUUGGCGGUGCUUUAUAUCCCUCUAGAGGAGCCUGUUCUAUAAUCGAUAAACCCCGAUAAACCUCACCAACUCUUGCCAAAUCAGCCUAUAUACCGCCAUCCUCAGCAAACCCUGAAAAGGACUGAUAGUAAGCCAAAUCGCAAUGCGCAAAAACGUUAGGUCAAGGUGUAGCCGAUGAGUUGGGAAGAAAUGGGCUACAUUUCCUACCAAUAGGACACACAUCUUUCUAAACGAAAACUCUUAUGAAACUAAGAACUAAAGGUGGAUUUAGCAGUAAACUAAGAAUAGAGUGCUUAGUUGAAUUAGGCCAUGAAGCACGCACACACCGCCCGUCACCCUCCUCAAAUACCAACGGUAACUCCAAACCAUAUUAACAAUUACCACAAGUACUAGAGGAGACAAGUCGUAACAAGGUAAGCGUACUGGAAAGUGCGCUUGGAUAACU
RNAcentral lists this non-coding RNA (977 nucleotides) under Leptonycteris curasoae (southern long-nosed bat). RNAcentral's name for it is "partial 12S ribosomal RNA". It matches the Rfam family "Bacterial small subunit ribosomal RNA". The record is from RNAcentral. Lineage: Eukaryota; Metazoa; Chordata; Mammalia; Chiroptera; Phyllostomidae.